UGCAUUGAUUGAAGAAAGCUUUAAUUAAAAUAAGUAUAUACAAAAAUAAAAAUAAAAAAAGAGUUUAAAUGAAUAGUUUGAAUCAACAGAUAAGAAAAGCUAUGAUAAUUUUGAAUACUUUCAUGCCUAGAUAAAUUAAGUUGAAAAAUUAUAAUUUGAAGGCAAAGUAUUUCAAAGAUUACUACAAAGCAUAUCCUGCAACAACAAAUGCUUCAUCCAAAACAGUAAAUCAAAAUAAUAAAGCACCAAACUUGUAUAGUGCCCACCAUUAUAAGUCACUAAAAGCAAGAAAAACAAAAUGACUUAAUUCAUUGAAUUCACGAAUGUUAACAUCAGACAUGAGUUUAAAACUUUGCCUUCGGAAGGAUGUUCAAAACCAGAAUCCACAAUAGAUCGAAACAGC
This 403-nucleotide long non-coding RNA is filed under the name Gossypium barbadense (sea-island cotton). RNAcentral describes it as "long non-coding RNA (GBAR_LNC009168)". Lineage: Eukaryota; Viridiplantae; Streptophyta; Magnoliopsida; Malvales; Malvaceae. The record is from RNAcentral.